CUGACGCAGCAACGCCGCGUGAGUGAAGAAGGCUUUCGGGUCGUAAAGCUCUGUCAAGUGGGAAGAACCCUUCUGAGGUCAAUAGCCUUGGGAGCUGACGGUACCACUGAAGGAAGCACCGGCUAACUCCGUGCCAGCAGGCCGCGGUAAUACGGAGGGUGCAAGCGUUAUUCGGAAUUACUGGGCGUAAAGGGCGCGCAGGCGGCCUGUUAAGUCAGUUGUGAAAGCCCGGGGCUCACCCCGGAAGUGCGACUGAAACUGGCAGGCUUGAGUAUGGAGAGGGAAGUGGAAUUCCUGGUGUAGCGGUGAAAUGCGUAGAUAUCAGGAGGAACACCGGUGGCGAAGGCGACUUCCUGGACCAAUACUGACGCUGAGGCGCGAAGGCGUGGGGAGCAAACAGGAUUAGAUACCCUGGUAGUCCACGCAGUAAACGGUGAUCACUAGGUGUUGCGGGCUUUGAUGCCUGCAGUGCCGAAGCAAACGCAUUAAGUAUCCGCCUGGGGAGUACGGCCGCAAGGUUAAAACUCAAA
RNAcentral lists this ribosomal RNA (530 nucleotides) under uncultured Desulfuromonas sp. Its description in RNAcentral is "bacterial SSU rRNA". It matches the Rfam family "Bacterial small subunit ribosomal RNA", at positions 383 to 905 of the family's 1533-position model. Lineage: Bacteria; Pseudomonadati; Thermodesulfobacteriota; Desulfuromonadia; Desulfuromonadales; Desulfuromonadaceae. The record is from RNAcentral.